UUUCUAAGUUUCUUCUUUAUAUCUAUUACAGCUUUGCCUGGUAGGUAACUUGCUCUCCCUGAACAGAGUCCUCUCCUUUCUUUCCUUCCUAGUACUUGUUAUAUAAUUUGUUUCUUUAUUAUUUCAGAUGAAAUUGCUUUAUAGUCAGAAAAACAACUUCCACAAAGAAGUCAAUGCUAUCCUUUAAAAAUAAAAUAGGUCAACAAAAUAGAACAUAUAACUAGGAAAAACAAAAAUGACAAGUUCCAGUCUAUAUUAUAUUAAUUAAUUAUAUUACCUCUCAAUUUACUUUUAGCUAUCUAUCCAAGCAUACUUAAAAUUUCCUCGCUAAUGAAUGUUUGGUAUCUUAAUGAGUGUUUUUAAUGGGUUGCUUGGAUAAGUAACAGCUAGAUUGACUAUGGAAACAUCCAUGAAGUCAUUUAAUUCCAAGGAACCAGAAAAAUAUAAAAAGAAAACUCAGGUGCCUUCUUAUUUUCCUCACUUAAUUUUACACUGAAAUGAUGCCAGGAAAUACAUUAGCAAAGAUUUUAAGGUUAAGAAAACUAAAUUUCUUCUCUUUCCUGUGACCAAUGAAAAAUUCUUAUUUCUUUGCUCCAUUUGAAAGCAAUUAUAGUAGUGCCCUACUUUGGGCUAUCGUCUACAUGACUUUAAAUGUUACAAAAGAUAGCUGAAUACCAAUAAAAUGAAAUUACAAGUAAAAUUACUCAUCCCGUCAUGUGCUGCUUAUAAUUUUCCUGUUGAGCCUCACAUCUGUUACUGAAAUUGCAACUUGGUAAAUGGGAUGCCAUCUAUUUUUCAGGGAUCAUAGAACAUAAAACACAAAUUAUACUUACAUGACAUAGUCCAGAAAGAAGUAAAGGAAGUCGUAUUCAAGGUUCAUUGAAUUAUCUGUUUCAUAGCUGAAAGGUAAUCUAGUCCAAUUUUUUUCAUUUUACUGAUAAAAGAGACUGAUGCACAAUAAGGUCAAGAGAUGUGCAAGACUGUAUAGGUAGCUGAUGCUGGAGAUGGAAUUUAAUAAGCACCCCUGGGUCCAUACCAAGGUCUUCUUUAUCAGAAUGACUCCACUUCUUUGGCACAACUUGAAGCUAAUUCUAACUCAGAAGAUGCCAGUGACAUCUAGAAACAUUUCCAGUGCAUAAGGAGAUCAGUGCUGUCAGAUGAUGGUAGUCAUCCUAUCAAUCAAUCAACAAGUAUUUAUUAAGUGGAUAUCAGAUAUUGAACAAUUUGCGGUAUAUGAUUGUUUUGGAAUGUUAUUGUGCUAUAAGAAAAAAUGAUGGAGGAUGUGAAAACACAAAAAUUAAACAAGUUUAGAUCCCACGAGGGGAGACAAACUCUGUGUCUAGGACAUAAAAGUAUUUAUUGCGGUAAAAAGAGCACUGAGCUGGACUUUGUGUCACAGACAGACUCAUAUACCAAUUCCACUCUUUAUUAGAUGCCUCCCUAAUCCUCUCUAAUUUCUUCCUCAUCAGUAAAAUAUAAAUGACAGUGCCUAUUUUCGCUACUAUAGGAACUAUAAAAAGCAAUUGAUAUAUGUGUGAAAGCUUUCUACAAGUUGCAGAGCUCUCUACAAAGGUGAAUAUUUUCUUUUAAAUUUUCCAAUAGAAAAAUAAUUCAUCUUUCAAAACUGUAGAGGACUGAAUUAAAUUAUAAGAAUAUAAGUCAUUCCCCAGUUGAUAAAUGGUCACAAAAUAUAAACAGGCAUUUUUCACAAGAAGAAAUCAAAACUGAAAAGGCACAAAUCUGCAAUGACAGAGAAAAUUCCUCACUCAGACUUCCUUAUGUCAUUGAAAUCACAGGGUCAGCUCAAAACCAAAACAACAACAAAACACAAUAUAAGUCUAUUAGAGUUGUAAUAGAUGACCAGAAUGGGGUCACCUAUUGUUUUCUUUGGGGACUAGAGAGUGAGAGAGGUGUGACAGAGCCAGAAGAUGGAGAGAGAAGAUAGAUUGAUCCUCCCCUCUCCUCCCCCUAGGGAAAACAACACAAAUUGUCUUUUAGAGGGACAGAAUAUGUCCCUUCAGAGACUGGGUUGAGUAUAAAGGUUAAGGACUGAAGCUGACUCUCCCACCUUGAGGAGAAAGUAUGGCUUUCCUUCCCAAGCUUCAGUUCCCUUCCUUGCUGAUAUGAGGCAGGCAAACUUGGUCUAAGAGGAAUAAUUCUUUUAUUCUAAAGGGACACACAAAACAGGGAGAGUGGGGUUGUUGGAUAAGGAAAGUGGGAAAUGGGAAAUCCCUAUGAGUUAACAACUGACCUCCUCCCCAAAUCCUGAGGGCUCAGGCUAUCUGCCUGACCCUCCUUGGUCAGUUGUGAGAUUUAUCCUUCCUUCUAUCUAACCUAAUUGUGGCUUGAAGUUCAAAGGACAGAUGUUAGGGAAUAGAGAGAAUUCUUCUUUGGGUGAAUGGCUUUCUAAAAAAGUCUCAUCCGCUCUUUUAACUUCAGCUGGAUCCAAGGGGGUUUGGGUUCACUGAGAGGUGGUCAAUGCUCAGAAAGGUCUGUCUCAGAGCUUUCCCUUAGACCAACCACUCCAGGAGAGCUGCCAAAGAGAAGUGAGGUGAUCUGGCAGUUUUCUCCUCAACUCUUCCGUGUUCCUUCCUGGAAUUCUCCAUCUUCCUUGCCCUUCCCCUGCUUGGGUUGCACUUCUUCCAUGCUGGAUCUUAUUUCUCUCUUGCAGAUUGAAUCAUGUGUUAGAGAUUAAUGGAAUAUUUGACUACUUUGAUGUAUUCUGCAUCUAAGUCCUCAGGGAAUUUGCAGCAGAGCUCCCUUGUUCUUCCUCCUGUGAAAGCACUCAGUUCAGUAAUCCUUUUUGUGGGAGCACAUUUAGAAAUAAUAGCCCCAAAUCCCAGGUCUCCCUGCUUUUAUAAUAAUAAUAAUAAUGAUAAUUCACAUUUGCAUGGAGAUCUAAAUAAGCCAAACUCUUUCUCUACGACAUCCUUUUGAAGUAGAUUGAACAAGUAACUCCUGGUAUCUCUAUUUAUGGGUUUAUUUCUCUUUCAUGAUGCUGGAUGGAUCAUGUCACUAUGGAUAUCACCACCACCAAUGUCAUUGUCAUGAGUAUCUUCAUAAUUAUGAUGGUUAUUAUUUUUGUUCCUGUCCUAUAUUAAUAGUUAAUUUAUAGUCAUGGUGCCUGCUGAACAAAGGCAUCUACUUAGCCAGUCAAUACAUAGUGUUUUCCUCCAUGAUGGAGGGUCAUGCUGCUGAUAAGGCACUCUACUGGAAAUAGCAGUGGGUCUGUAAAGACCAACCAAUGAUCAUAUUUUGUCCUUGCAUAAGACUUUUGUCUCAGUCACUGUAACUGCAACCUCUAGAAACUUCUGCAGUUUGUAAUUUUGAAUUUUUUUUUAUUUAGAAGUUAGCCCUGAAUCCAUUGACAAAAAGAGUUCUCCCCAUUCCAAAUGGCCACACCAAAUGCUGGACUUUAAGAGCCACAGACUUGGAGUUGAAGUUCUGGGUUCAAAUACAUGCUCUGUUGCUUAUUAGCUGUGAGAUUAUAUGAAAAAUCAUUUCCUAUUUCUCACCUCAGCUUCCUCAAUUUUAUUUGAAAAUUUUUAUUUAAUUAAUUAACUUAGAAUAUUUUCCCAUGGUUACAUGAUUCAUGUUCUUUCCCUUCUCCCCCUUUCUCCCCCUCCUAUAGCCAAUGAUCAAUUCCACUGGGUUUUACAUGUGCCAUUGAUCAAGACCCAUUUCCACUUUAUUAAUAUUUACAUUAGGCUUCCUCAUCUUUAAAAUGUAGGUCACAAUUGUUAUGUUCCCUAUUACUUAGGUUUGUGGCGCAUAAUGUGCUUUUCAAGUAGCAGGCACUCUAUCAUUGCAUUAAAAAAACAAACAAACUCUUACUUCCAUCCUAGAAUCAAUACUAUGUAUUAGUUCCAAGGAAGAAGAGAGGUAAGGGCUAGGCAAUGGGGGCUAAGUGAAUUGCCCAGGGUCACACAGCUAGGAAUAUCAUUGUGUUUUAUCAAAUGGGAGAGGAAUAGUUGAGGACUAGAAGAAUCUCUGAACUUGGAGUUAGGAGAUCUGAGUUUAAGCUAUAAGUUUAAUUUAGUCAUUAAAUAUGUGAUUAUGGGGAAAUUGCUUGCCCUUUCUAGCCUUGGUUUCCUUAUCUGCAAAAUGGUUGUUACAUUGAAUGUAGUGGCUACAUCCUAGACUUGCUACAGGAAAAGUACUUUGUAGAGAAGUGGGGAUGAUAUGGCAGAAAGAGAACUGUCUUGGGAGCCACAAUACCUGGAGUCAAAUCUGGCCUCUUCUACUACCUGAAAGCUUUGGGAACCUCAUUCAGUCUCCAUGACUCUCAGAUUUUUCAAAACUAAAAUGAGAGGGAAUUCUCCUAGACAACCUUGGAGGUCCCUUCCACCCAAACUUCAACAGAUCCCAUAUUACAUAGAUAAACUAAUAUGAUUUGAUGGUGUUAUUUUCCACAUCACUAUAUGAUACCAUCUCUUGGCUUGUUUCUUUUUUGAGGGGAUGGUGGGGAAGACAAUCAACUCCUAUAUGUGCCAUAUGUGAAUCUAGUUUGGCUUUGUGUGUGUUUUUAACCCUCCUGAGGAAUCCUAGGCUCUAGGGGUACUGCAUGUCUAUCUAUAAUGCUCAUGUGGUUGUGCUGGAAGAGAGUGAGAAGAAAGCACCCUUGUGGAGGCAGCUUCAUCAGUCAUAUCCAUAUCAGCCCUAUGGACUAGUAUAUCACAGGUGGUCUUUUUAAAGCAAAAGAAGGAGCUCUGCCUUUCACUCUCCCUUCAGAAAAUAACAGCCCUUACCGUCUUCUCCGCAUGCUCUGGCAAUGUCCCUGGCGAUUACACAGUAAACACUAAGAAUAGAAAGUGUGGGUAAGGUCUAUGGCAGCUCAUCAUUCUCCCAGAUUAGUAUUUUGAGCAUUUUCAUAAAUGAUUGAUAAAAACUUCACUUAAAAUAAACUGUAAGGAUUUGACUGUAUUCCCAUAUGACGUCCUCAGAGUCAUGGAGAGAAGUACACAUGUUUUCUUCCCCCUUCCCUUCCCUUUCCCUUUUGUGAUCAUAAAGGGCCUCAUGUUGGCUUAGAACUAAUUGCUUGGAAAUCCAAGGAGGUUUCUGACUUUGUCUGAAACUCAUGUUACAUAGGAUUUCCUAGUGCCUUAGUAGGUGUCCCCCAGAAUAGUUUUAAUUAAUUCAACAUUUUUUCAAUUGGGAUAUUUGAUGGCAGACAUAUCCCUCUCCAUUGCUUGUACCAUCUUUUCUAGAUGAUCACUGAAAUAAAAAUGGAAACUAAACUUUUUUUUUUGCACUAGGAGUCCUAUUGAUAGUAUUGCUGAAACAGCAAUGAGAGGAGAUAUUGUAAGAAAAAGCACUGAGUUGCAGAAAGGAAAAAAAUGGUCAAAGUUCUAUCAUAAACAUGAAUUCUAUGUGUCAAGAUCUGCUCCACAGUUUCUCUGACUUCUAUCACCUUUCUGCAUUGCUGUCACCCUAUUUAAAACUUCUAAUAUCUCUUUUCAGGAAAAUCACAAUGGCCUACUUCUUGGCUUCUUUUUCUCAUUAUCCAUCUCAAUCAAUCAAUUGAUCAAUAAUU
Non-coding RNA from Monodelphis domestica (gray short-tailed opossum), 5533 nucleotides. NCBI's taxonomy places the organism in Eukaryota, Metazoa, Chordata, Mammalia, Didelphimorphia, Didelphidae. The record is from RefSeq and is a predicted model, not a curated record.